This 718-nucleotide long non-coding RNA is filed under the name Apis mellifera (honey bee). RNAcentral describes it as "uncharacterized LOC107966102, transcript variant X3". The record is from RNAcentral. Lineage: Eukaryota; Metazoa; Arthropoda; Insecta; Hymenoptera; Apidae.
CGACGCCACAUGCCUAUAUAAGAGGAUCGCUCGGCGUGGCUCAACGCAUUUGUAAAUCAGUUUCCAGAGCAGUCAGAAGUGGCGUUCAAAGUGUGCAGUAGUGUGAAAAUUUCUUCCUCCACUAUGUUUAUAGUUAAUUCAUCAUCAUUUCUUGGCAAUAAUACCAUUAUUGCAAUAUCAUCCACGAAAUUGAAAAUUCUCCAUUUCACCAAAGAAGACACAUGAAUUUUCAAGAAUGAAAUUAUUGAAGAAAGAAAAAAAGAAUGGCUCGACGCAUUCAUAAAGAAAUUUUCGGUUCGGAUGCAGCGAAUAUUCAAUUCCACCGACUGAUCAUAUUUCUUCUAUUAUUGCGAUCUACGACAACAUGACAUGAAAACAGACGAAUGGAUUGCGAAGUUGGACUAUUUACGUGCACCCUACGGGGUCGGUGCUUGAACGCAACUAUAAUAUGGUCUGAUUAGAGUUUGAAAUUUCUUCAUACAUUUUGAACUAUUUGAGAAGAGCAUCUCGAGAUAUAUUAGUUUAGAGCAGACUCGUAGUUAGAGGUCGAGAAUAAAUUAUGGGCACCAUCUUGUCUAAACCAAUACUCUACUACAAAGGCAUACGGAAUUUGGGAAUUGAGAAAAAAAAGUACAGAAUCAAAUAGAACAGGAAAUGAAAAAAAAAAGACGAUUUUGCGGUUAAAAAUAUCCAAUAUAAAUAAUUAAAUAUACAAUUU